CUUAGUACGGCGAGUGAAGCGGUAAAAGCUCAAAUUUGAAAUCUGGUACUUUCAGUGCCCGAGUUGUAAUUUGUAGAAUUUGUCUUUGAUUAGGUCCUUGUCUAUGUUCCUUGGAACAGGACGUCAUAGAGGGUGAGAAUCCCGUUUGGCGAGGAUACCUUUUCUCUGUAAGACUUUUUCGAAGAGUCGAGUUGUUUGGGAAUGCAGCUCAAAGUGGGUGGUAAAUUCCAUCUAAAGCUAAAUAUUGGCGAGAGACCGAUAGCGAACAAGUACAGUGAUGGAAAGAUGAAAAGAACUUUGAAAAGAGAGUGAAAAAGUACGUGAAAUUGUUGAAAGGGAAGGGCAUUUGAUCAGACAUGGUGUUUUUUGCAUGCACUCGCCUCUCGUGGGCUUGGGCCUCUCAAAAAUUUCACUGGGCCAACAUCAAUUCUGGCAGCAGGAUAAAUCAUUAAGAAUGUAGCUACUUCGGUAGUGUUAUAGCUUUUUGGAAUACUGUUAGCCGGGAUUGAGGACUGCGCUUCGGCAAGGAUGUUGGCAUAAUGGUUAAAUGCCGCCCGUCUUGAAACACGGACC
RNAcentral lists this ribosomal RNA (573 nucleotides) under Hanseniaspora uvarum. Its description in RNAcentral is "LSU rRNA". It matches the Rfam family "Eukaryotic large subunit ribosomal RNA", at positions 79 to 667 of the family's 3401-position model. The record is from RNAcentral. Lineage: Eukaryota; Fungi; Ascomycota; Saccharomycetes; Saccharomycodales; Saccharomycodaceae.